RNAcentral lists this ribosomal RNA (253 nucleotides) under uncultured bacterium. RNAcentral's name for it is "partial 16S ribosomal RNA". It matches the Rfam family "Bacterial small subunit ribosomal RNA", at positions 524 to 776 of the family's 1533-position model. The record is from RNAcentral.
UACAGAGGGGGCAAGCGUUGUUCGGAAUUACUGGGCGUAAAGGGCUCGUAGGUGGCCAACUAAGUCAGACGUGAAAUCCCUCGGCUUAACCGGGGAACUGCGUCUGAUACUGGAUGGCUGGAGUAUGGGAGAGGAAUGCGGAAUUCCAGGUGUAGCGGUGAAAUGCGUAGAUAUCUGGAGGAACACCGGUGGCGAAGGCGGCAUUCUGGACCAUUACUGACGCUGAGGAGCGAAAGCCAGGGGAGCAAACGGG